UGGGCUGCUCCAGGAAAGGGCCCAUCGACUUCUCUGGCAAAAAAAUCCCCCAGCCUGUCACCGUGAGUUUCCCCGUUGUAGAGCUAAACUACAAUUGAUGUUCUGUCUCUAUCAAUUUCUCAGGAAUGCUGGGACGUGAGCCCAGUAUUAAUGAAGACAGCAGAGAGGAAGGCAUGAGACUGGCUCCGCUCCAGAGCUGACGGAGAGCGUGGAUCCUGAGUAAUUCCUGGAGACCCGGAGAGGCCCGAACGAGGCAAAACAAGCGGGCCCUGGGGUCACACACAAGGCUCGGUGGGGCAGACAGAUGCCAAAAAGGCUCGAGAGAAUUUCUGCUGGGAAAAAAUAGCCUCAACCUCGUCCCUUUUAUCACCACGUAUCAUUUGCAUCAUCUGAGAAAGGCAAUUUUACUCCAGAUUAAAAGGACAUCCUCCUAGGAUGUGGCUCUCUGAGGAUGUGGAAAAUACAACAAGCUCCAUGGGUGCCCAAAGUAACCCAACGGUGAUGGUGGGACAGCUAGAGCAUUGCAGAGAAACACACCCGCCUCACAAAUUCUCAGGAGAAUCAAAAUAAAUAAAUGGAAAGCACUGCCUGUGUUUAAUAAAGGAGCUCAGUAAAGGA
Molecule: long non-coding RNA, 618 nt
Organism: Orcinus orca (killer whale)
Lineage: Eukaryota; Metazoa; Chordata; Mammalia; Artiodactyla; Delphinidae
Exons: 2
Source: RefSeq, a predicted model, not a curated record